Gadus morhua (Atlantic cod) is the source of this 222-nucleotide long non-coding RNA. RefSeq lists it as uncharacterized. The transcript has 3 exons. NCBI's taxonomy places the organism in Eukaryota, Metazoa, Chordata, Actinopteri, Gadiformes, Gadidae. The record is from RefSeq and is a predicted model, not a curated record.
UGAUGGAGGAACCAAGACUCUGGAGGACGACAUCACUCCACCAACCAGGAUCCUCACCAGGAAUCUGGAGGACUGAUGGAGAAGCCAUACAUCUGGAAGGCAAAUCCUGAGGACAAGCAGGACUCUACCAUCAGGGUUUCCUCAUAAAUGUGCAUUAUCUGGACAUAGUGGACUAGACACACCUGAGCUGAACCUCACCUGAUCCUGUUUGGUCGGGGGUAG